Lolium perenne is the source of this 691-nucleotide non-coding RNA. The record is from RefSeq and is a predicted model, not a curated record. NCBI's taxonomy places the organism in Eukaryota, Viridiplantae, Streptophyta, Magnoliopsida, Poales, Poaceae.
UGCGCCGUUGUCGUGACAAGGAUGCUGAACUGCUGCUUGUUGCCUACACCAUCCGCGUUGAAGGCCUCCUGAAGCUCUUGCCUGUGCUCACUGAUCCGACCUGGCACAACUCCGAUGGGCUGCUGUUGCCAAUGACUUGCAGCUGGUUCAAAUCAUAUCAGAGGAUGAGAAGGAGAGACUCAAUGGCGUUGCAAGAGGAAGUCUCUACGGUGGCCGCCAAUCAGCUAUGAGGUCUUCAUCAAUAGCAUCUCACCUACCAGGAGGAUAUUGGCCCCAAGGAUUUGUUGGGUGGUGGAGGCCAAGAGGCAAGUAGUCACCUACAGCAGCCGGAUGACGGUAUAGCCCAAGGGGGUGGUGGAUUCAGGGCCGACAAUGAUCUCAGCUUGGAUGAUGCCAGGCACGAGAAUGGCUAUGCUUGGAAGUUAAUCGAUGGACGAGCUGAGCUUCUUUGACUAGUGAUGUGAUGCUGCAGCGGUACAUGGAGCCAUGCUUCUUCUGUGGUGCUUCUGCAGGGGUUCCCUGAUGCGACAGCACCAGCAGCAAGAGAGAAGUAGAGUUGAUGGUCCGUGAUGGUUUUUUUUGUGUUUAUUCAAGUGAUGGUGCUCUUGUAGUGUUGUGGUCUUAAAUUUUCUGCUAGCUGUGUGGUGCUCUUGUAACAUUAAUUAUUUUUAACUUGCUUCGUUGGUUAAAC